UACGUAGGGACCAAGCGUUGUUCGGAUUUACUGGGCGUAAAGGGCGCGUAGGCGGCGUGGUAAGUCACUUGUGAAAUCUCUGAGCUUAACUCAGAACGGCCAAGUGAUACUGCUGUGCUAGAGUGCAGAAGGGGCAAUCGGAAUUCUUGGUGUAGCGGUGAAAUGCGUAGAUAUCAAGAGGAACACCUGAGGUGAAGACGGGUUGCUGGGCUGACACUGACGCCGAGGCGCGAAAGCCAGGGGAGCAAACGGG
This 253-nucleotide ribosomal RNA is filed under the name uncultured bacterium. RNAcentral describes it as "partial 16S ribosomal RNA". It matches the Rfam family "Bacterial small subunit ribosomal RNA", at positions 524 to 776 of the family's 1533-position model. The record is from RNAcentral.